UACUCGGUAUCGGAUCGUAAAGGAAAUUGGUGGUAUCGAACAUCACUACUACCUGUCUCUACACUGUUGCUGGGAUUUUGUGCAUGAAGUAAAACCAUGGAGGCAGCCGUGUUGCCGGAAGUGUUGACAUCAUCAACGAGCAAACUCGAUUGGUCGAGCACGAUCACGUGUCGAACCGUGCCACCGCUCGCGCACUGAAAUGUUAUUGCGCCUUGAAGACGCUAGUUCUUUAUAAAAUGCAUCGAUAUAAAAACGGGCAGGAUAUUUUGCGACGAACUUUUUGCUGUAACUCGUUCUUUUUGUGAAGUUGAAUUCCAUUUCUAAAUGACUUUUUGUGGUUUUACUAGCUGAGAGGAGGAGCUUGAGACCUGUGUGCUGUGUGGAGGAGACUGCAUGUUUACAGAGCCUUAUGUGUUUUCUGUUGAUUUGUACAGACAAAUCCACCGUUCUACCUUCAUUAAAAGAACAAUCAACAGCUGGUCAUGGUUCAAGUCCUUCUUUCAUCCAGCGCAACACAGAACACAACGCAGGACUUACAAGGGUAAAUUGACUUGCAUCCAACUUUAUAUUAAACUGUUGAAGACAAUGGAUGCCUGUUACAAUGGUGCCGUGACCCAGAUAGUCAUUCAAUCCACGCAGAAGAUCGAAGCUUUUAGUGAGUUGUUUUAUGCUCCUGUUGUUGUCAAUCACACUGUGCAGCUUAAAGGCCUGUUGGACUCUGGCUCUAUGACAUGUUGCAUCAGUGAACAUGCAGUAGAGAAACUCAGUUCUGCUGGUGUUUUGCCUGAGAAGCAGCAUCCUGAAAGAAAUAUCAUUUUGAUGGGCUGUGGUGGUCUGCAGACUCAACCUGAGGGUUUUUAUAACUUGGAGAUGCAACUUUGCGGUGUUCGAUGUGUCGUACCUACCUUAGUUCUGCCUGGUCAGCGUGAUGAUCUCAUUUUGGGCUCAAAUAUCAUCAAACACGUGAUCCGUAUUCUGAAGAGUGAUAAUGAUUAUCGGAACAUGGCAUUCAGACCUGAGCAUCAGUCUGACCCCCAUAUUGAACAUUUCUUGUUAAUGUUCACCAACGUCGAGCGCUGGAGAGGAAGUGAGGUUCCUGAUAAA
Long non-coding RNA from Cynoglossus semilaevis (tongue sole), 1104 nucleotides. RefSeq lists it as uncharacterized. The transcript is spliced from 3 exons. Lineage: Eukaryota; Metazoa; Chordata; Actinopteri; Pleuronectiformes; Cynoglossidae. The record is from RefSeq and is a predicted model, not a curated record.